CCAUCACGGCAUUGGGGCCAGUGCUGCUUCGGAGGACCGAAAUGUGUCCUGAUACGCAGAUGAAUUCCCAGCUCGCUGCCGCAUUUGUUACGCAGGCAAUAAGGAGCGGCUAACCCUGAAGAGGGAAUGGUGCAUUGUCCAUGGAUUGCAAGACCCAAGGUUGGGGCUUGUGGGGGUCAACGUUUCAAAAUUGCCCCGAAUAUCCUCCAGAACGACUUGACAAGAAGCGUAUGAAAAAAGAGGAAACUUUUGAUGGAAUAAAGAGCUGGAACUCAACAACUCCG
RNAcentral lists this small RNA (284 nucleotides) under Histoplasma capsulatum. RNAcentral's name for it is "hypothetical RNA". RNAcentral also lists the same sequence under 1 other name. The record is from RNAcentral. Lineage: Eukaryota; Fungi; Ascomycota; Eurotiomycetes; Onygenales; Ajellomycetaceae.